This 254-nucleotide ribosomal RNA is filed under the name uncultured prokaryote. RNAcentral describes it as "partial 16S ribosomal RNA". It matches the Rfam family "Bacterial small subunit ribosomal RNA", at positions 521 to 774 of the family's 1533-position model. The record is from RNAcentral.
UAAUACGGAGGGAGCUAGCGUUGUUCGGAAUUACUGGGCGUAAAGCGCGCGUAGGCGGCUUUGUAAGUUAGAGGUGAAAGCCCGGAGCUCAACUCCGGAAUUGCCUUUAAGACUGCAUCGCUAGAAUCCGGGAGAGGUGAGUGGAAUUCCGAGUGUAGAGGUGAAAUUCGUAGAUAUUCGGAAGAACACCAGUGGCGAAGGCGGCUCACUGGACCGGUAUUGACGCUGAGGUGCGAAAGCGUGGGGAGCAAACA